RNAcentral lists this ribosomal RNA (501 nucleotides) under uncultured bacterium. RNAcentral describes it as "partial 16S ribosomal RNA". It matches the Rfam family "Bacterial small subunit ribosomal RNA", at positions 30 to 523 of the family's 1533-position model. The record is from RNAcentral.
AUUGAACGCUGGCGGCAGGCUUAACACAUGCAAGUCGAGCGGAGAUGAGGUGCUUGCACCUUAUCUUAGCGGCGGACGGGUGAGUAAUGCUUAGAAAUCUGCCUAUUAGUGGGGGACAACAUUCCGAAAGGAAUGCUAAUACCGCAUACGUCCUACGGGAGAAAGCAGGGGAUCUUCGGACCUCGCGCUAAUAGAUGAGCCUAAGUCGGAUUAGCUAGUUGGUGGGGUAAAGGCCUACCAAGGCGACGAUCCGUAGCGGGUCUGAGAGGAUGAUCCGCCACACUGGGACUGAGACACGGCCCAGACUCCUACGGGAGGCAGCAGUGGGGAAUAUUGGACAAUGGGGGGAACCCUGAUCCAGCCAUGCCGCGUGUGUGAAGAAGGCCUUAUGGUUGUAAAGCACUUUAAGCGAGGAGGAGGCUACUGAGACUAAUACUCUUGGAUAGUGGACGUUACUCGCAGAAUAAGCACCGGCUAACUCUGUGCCAGCAGCCGCCGUAA